Neopelma chrysocephalum (saffron-crested tyrant-manakin) is the source of this 166-nucleotide long non-coding RNA. RefSeq lists it as uncharacterized. The record is from RefSeq and is a predicted model, not a curated record. The transcript is spliced from 3 exons. NCBI's taxonomy places the organism in Eukaryota, Metazoa, Chordata, Aves, Passeriformes, Pipridae.
GAAUGCAGCAGCACCGGAGAAAGAGGAGCUGAGAAGCUCAAGACGUCCUGGAAGCUGGAUCGGGACGGCCGGACGGAAUGCAGGGGAAGUGGCCUUGCUCCCCCGCUGCUGCUGCCAGGCUGGCAGCUGAGACAGAGCACAGGAGCUCUGAUGGGAUGUUUGGAGC